Molecule: ribosomal RNA, 348 nt
Filed under: uncultured bacterium
Lineage: Bacteria
Description: bacterial SSU rRNA
Rfam family: Bacterial small subunit ribosomal RNA
Source: RNAcentral
GGGCCCGCACAAGCGGUGGAGCAUGUGGUUUAAUUCGAUGCAACGCGAAGAACCUUACCAGGGCUUGACAUACUGCGAAUCUUUUUGAAAGAAGAGAGUGCCUUCGGGAAUGCAGAUACAGGUGGUGCAUGGCUGUCGUCAGCUCGUGUCGUGAGAUGUUGGGUUAAGUCCCGCAACGAGCGCAACCCUUGUUUUUAGUUACCAAUUCGUUGGGUUUUCUAGAAAGACUGCCGGUGACAAACCGGAGGAAGGUGAGGAUGACGUCAAGUCAGCAUGCCCCUUAUGUCCUGGGCUACACACGUGCUACAAUGGUUAGGACAAAGAGUCGCGAGUUCGCAAGAACCAGCU